AAUCCAAAAAUUGCUGGCAUUGGUUUUUGUGGUCAAUGGUGUUAAGAGAUUUGGUAUAUCCUUCAGGCUGGUACUGUCCAGAUUUUCCUUCUUGCUCAUGAGCAAUUCAAGCUGCAAGUUAGAUUGAUGAAGGCUUCUUCCCUGCAUGGGAUUGUGAGACCACCCAAUGGAUGAUCAAACCCGAAUUCUUCUUCAGCCUGACUUAGCAAGCUUUGGAAUGAAGGGUGCUUCAAGUAUGAAAUUGGAAUCACAAAUCUCUUCUUCUGAGUUUCUCCAACAUAGACAGGAACAUAGCCUUUGGGCACACUUGUGGACUCUGGAGAUGGAAGGAUGCGUCUCAGGAUCUGCUUGGCAGGAAUAAUCCUCUGAAAACGGAUGGCCAUGAGUUUCAAACUUAGUUCUUUGAACGAAAGUGAUGAUGAAAAAUGGAUUCUAAGAGUUUAGAAAACAAGAAAGCUUUGGGACUUGAUGGAUAUGCCCUUAGAAGAGGUAUAUUUAUAGAGUAAUGCUAUAUGGUCGGUAUUCUCCAAUGGAAUGAAUGGUGAAGAGGCUACAGCAAUGGGGUCCCUUGAAGAGGAUAUAUCACAUGGCUUUGCCUCCCAACUAAUAAUAAGAUUUUGACAGCAUUCAUACUGAUAUACAUUUGUUGCUUCAUCAUUGCCUACCUCUUAGCAAAACAAUCAACAGAGCCCCACUCCACUUGAAAUUAUUUUGUAUUGCAUCCAGCUGAUAUAACUAGCUGUGUUAUAACUUAAGACUACUGCAUAUCAGAACAGCCAAGUUAUCUUUUGAUGUCAUGAUCUUUCUUGUUGCCACACAGGUGGGGUAUUUGUGCUGAGGGUGACCUUUCAUCUUGAAUUUGUUGGGAUGAAAGAUAGAAUGGAAGCAUUGAACCAGCAGAGCAUAUGUUAUUGUUCCAUGAUCUGAUGUCUAGACUCAAACCGACCAGAUUCACCAAACCCUAGCUAAGCAUGAAUUGGAUAAAGGAGGCUUUCAUUUCACUGGUCAACUCAAAAAUUUCAAUUCUUAGACCAAGUACCACCACUAGCAGCCUAAGUACUUGGCAACAAGAUAAGGAAUCUUAGCGACUAAAGCGUUGAAUUGCAAAUGAUUAGAAGCCUGUAUAUAACUUAGCAUAUAUAUAUAUAUAUAUAUAUGUUCAUAUAUUUGGAGAUUUGUUUCAGAAAACACACUGUUUGUCUAAAUGCAUCCUAAUAGGAAAUCAUGUUGCAGCUUAUAGAAAUGGUGAGUACUGCUGGAUCUUGAUGGUACCUUGCGUUGUUUAAAUUGAUGGAGCUAUAACUAUAGCAGAGAAUAUAGCAUUUUGGUCUCUCAAAAACAAUUCAUCAGGUGAAAUAAACAAGAAAGAUAUGACAACGUAAUUUCUGUCAUUUUCUCAUGUAGUGUAACCUAUAUUCUCUCUCUCUCAAAAAAAAAAAAAAAAAAAAGUUACACAGAAAGGAGAAAAGGAUAUACAUGGGAUUGCAUUCAUUCUUUACAAAAUUGUCAACAGUGAAAUGAGAAGUAAGAUUGAGGAAAAUAUCUUCUCUGCAAGGGAUUCUGGGACAGCCCAUUGGAUGAUCAGAUCCAAAUUCUUCUGCCUUAUGGAGAAGCACUUGGAAUGUAGGUAGGUUCCAGUAACCUUCUGAAUAUCUGCAGCUGCUGAAACUGCUCUUGCAGUCAUAAUAGAUUUGUGGAGAAUUUAAUUUCUUAGCAUGAACAAGACCAGCUGGAAGGUGGACGACCCAUAAUUUUUUAUAGGUAAAUCUCUUCAACAGAAGAAUGAACAAGCUUGGGCAAGCUUCGGCUUGCAAAACAGAGAAAGCUUUGGAAGUAGAGAAUUUGAACACCUAUGUUGAUUGUAAUACUAGCAUACGAGUAUAUAUAGAAGGAAUGGUAUAUUUGAAUAAAUUGUGGAAGGAGUGGUAUGAAGAUAUUUGGAUAGUAGAUGCAUAUGAAUAUUUGUACAAAAAAAUGACCCACUUGAAAUCAAGAAGAUAGGAGAAACUCUUUUUGAUUUAAGAACAGUACAAAGCUCAAUAUGUACAUGCACUAGUAGCAUGCUUGAGACAUCUGAUUCUUUUCAGUCUUCUUAGCAAGGAACCAUAUAUUAGACAUGCAAGCCUAUCUAAAUAACAACUUGGUUUGAAUUGAGUCUCCCCCAGCUUGAACUCACCUGUCAAUCCUACCAAGUGAUUUGAACAUGAUUCUCUCCUGACAGAACAGAUACUGGCUCAGUUGAUGCAGAUGAAUUAUGAAUAUAUACACUCUAAAUUUUAAAUCACUGAUCGGCUCUGAUAUUAAUUAAUGUUCAGAUAAACAAUAAAGGAAUUCAAGGUAUAUUUAUAGCUGGAGGUAAAAGGAAAACAGCAGUUAACAUAUCUCCAACAGAAAUCACUGGCAAUGCGCUACUUUAGUACACCAACUAGCAAGGGACACCCUUUUGAAGAGCACAUGAAGUGUCUCCCACUACCCCCUAGGCAGUGGGAUCCAUUUUAACCACCAGAGUGCUAUUGUUACAGAUGAUGUUAUUCUAAGGAAAUGAAAUUCAAUAUUGCAAAGCAAUCCUUGAUUGAAAUUUGAGCUCUAGGUUGAGAACAGAGGAAACAGAUUAAAUCAAUGGGAAAGCAGAAAAGUAAGAGAUUCUAUUUGAUCCUUUUAUAUGAAGAGAAUUGGCUAUCAACUUUCUUUACAGAAAAAAUGUAUAAAAUAAUUUUACAAGUGGAAAUGAAACAGCCCAGUUCUCCUAAUCCAAAAAUGGAGACUGGUUUAUGAGUCAAUGGCGUUAGAGACUCUGCAUCCUAGAGCCUAGUCAUUUGCAUAUCUUUCUCCUCUCAUGGGCUGUUCAAAUAACAACUGAGAUUAAUAAAGGCUUCUUCUGUGCAUGGGAUUGUGAGACCACCCAUUGGAUGAUCAAACCCGAACUCUUCUUCAGCCUGACUCAACAGGGUCUGGAAUGCAGGAUUCUUCAAGUAUGAGAUUGGAACCACAAAUCUCUUCUUUUGGAUUUCUCCCACAUAAACAGAAAAAUAGCCUUUAGGCACAUUCUUGGACUCAGCACCCACAUGUGCCCGCUGCAGGAUCUGCUUAGCAUUAACAAUUCCAGGCAAAUGAAAACCCAUGACUUCUAUGGACUCAGAAAAGUAAAGGUAAGGAAACUGGUACUCUGAGAUCUCUUAGAAUAAGAAAAGUUUGACAGUGGGAUACCAUAUCCAUAGGAUGAGUAGAAUAUAUAUAGAGCAAGCAAAUUCUGUAUGGCCAAUAUUCUUUGGUGUUGAGAAGUCUCUAAUGUUAGGGUCCAUCUGUAGACAUUCAUGACAAGGGUUCACAUGGUUUUGCUUCCCAACUAAUAAUAUGAUUUUCAGUGGUCUUCCUUCUGAAAUUUAUUUGCUGGGAUCAUCAUGGCCUACUUCUUAACUAUCAAAACUAAUUUGAAAAGCCCACUUGAAAUUACUUGUUUAGUUAUCUGGCAAUUAAUCUGACUCUUGAUCUAUAUCAGCCAACAGGUGGGGACAAUGUUCAUUGAUGCACUAAGAAUAGCUCACCCAUAGUGUAUGUUUGAAAUUUGUUGGGGUUCUAAAAAACACAAAUUAUCAGCUCAUGUGAUGAUGUUUCUUGAAAUGAAUUAUCCAUAUAGGCAAUCAUAUUAUUUAAAGUACUUGUCAAGGUGUUAAACAACAAAGUGAAACAAAGGAAAAUGUAAUGGCAACUGGCAAGGAAUGGAUUUGAUAAUAAAACAAUGCCCGUCUCCUGUCCCCAUUUGUCCUACCAUUGGAAAUGCCUCACUCGGUUUUCAGACUCGAACAUAAUCCUUCUCAAUAGAUUCAAGUUCUAAAAUUCUGUUCAGAUGCUUUAUCAAAGAUAUAAUCAACAUUAGCACUUCUACAAACAUGCUGAUUGGUUUCUGAUGAGUUUGAAGAAUCCAAACUGUAAUAGACAUGACAAAAUGGGCACCACUUGCCUUUUAGAUGAUGUUGAAUUAUGAAGGUUCAAAGAAGGCCAUUCAUUUGAGAUUACAUUUACAUUUUGACUACUAUUUCUCUAAGCCAUCAGUUACAACAACAGGAAUAGGAUAUUCAAACUUCAAUUUAUUUAUUUAUUUUUAUUAAUAACCAUAAUCAUAAGUUGUUCUUUCCUAAGAUGUUACCGAAUAUGCCCUUAGUUGAAGAUUUAGUUUUACCAGAAUGAUAGAAACCGAAAUGUUUAAACAAAGAUUAAUAGAUUUUGAAGGGCAAAUGAAGUAACUCUCUAAAUAGAUUUGGUCUUGUGGCAAUAACUUUUACUAAAUGGCUGUCAGGGAAAGACAAAUAACAUAAGAAAAAGGUAAAGCUAUUAAAUUAAGAUGAACAAAUUUGGUUGCAAACUUGUUUUCCAGAAAAAUAGAAUAAAUAUACAUUGUUCUCUUAAGGAAAAAGAAAAAAGGAAAAAAAAAAAAAAAAAAACCAACUCAUAAUUCAAAAAUUGUUGGGUUGGUUUCUGUGGUCAAUGGUGUUAUAGAUUUGGUAUCCUCCAGGCUGAUCAUUAUGUGACUCUCCUCCUUGCUCAUGAGCAAUUCAAGCUGCAAGUUAGAUUGAGGAAGGCUUCUUCUCUGCAUGGGAUUGUGAGAUCCCCCAGUGGAUGAUCAAACCCGAACUCUUCCUCAGCCUGACUUAGCAAGUUUUGGAAUGAAGGAUGCUUCAGGUAUGAAAUUGGAAUCACAAAUCUCUUCUUCUGAGUUUCUCCAACACAGACAGGAACAUGGCCUUUAGGCACAUUUGUGGGCUCUGGAGAUGGAAAAAUGUGUCUUAGGAUCUGUUUGGCAGGAAUAAUCCUCUGAAAAUGGAUGGCCAUAAGUUUCAAACUUAGUUCUUCAAACUAAAGUGGUUGUGAGAGAAGGUUUUCUAGGUGUUUGGGAAGUAAGAAAAGCCUUGAUACCUGGUGGAUAUGCCCAUAGAAUAGAUGUAUUUAUAGAACAAAUGCAAUAAGGCCAGUUUUCUCAAAUGGAAUGAAUGAUGAAAAGACAAUUGCAAUGGGGGUCCGGGUCCCUUAAA
This 5030-nucleotide long non-coding RNA is filed under the name Vitis vinifera (wine grape). RNAcentral describes it as "long non-coding RNA (VVIN_LNC000600)". Lineage: Eukaryota; Viridiplantae; Streptophyta; Magnoliopsida; Vitales; Vitaceae. The record is from RNAcentral.